RNAcentral lists this ribosomal RNA (155 nucleotides) under uncultured Thelephoraceae. RNAcentral's name for it is "5.8S ribosomal RNA". It matches the Rfam family "5.8S ribosomal RNA". Rfam says of the family: 5.8S ribosomal RNA (5.8S rRNA) is a component of the large subunit of the eukaryotic ribosome. The record is from RNAcentral. Lineage: Eukaryota; Fungi; Basidiomycota; Agaricomycetes; Thelephorales; Thelephoraceae.
AACUUUCAGCAACGGAUCUCUUGGCUCUCGCAUCGAUGAAGAACGCAGCGAAAUGCGAUAAGUAAUGUGAAUUGCAGAAUUCAGUGAAUCAUCGAAUCUUUGAACGCACCUUGCGCCCUUUGGCUAUUCCGAAGGGCAUGCCUGUUUGAGUAUCG